GCGAGUUACGAUUUGAUGCAAGGUUAAGCAGUAAAUGUGGAGCCGUAGCGAAAGCGAGUCUGAAUAGGGCGUUUAGUAUUUGGUCGUAGACCCGAAACCAGGUGAUCUACCCUUGGUCAGGUUGAAGUUCAGGUAACACUGAAUGGAGGACCGAACCGACUUACGUUGAAAAGUGAGCGGAUGAACUGAGGGUAGCGGAGAAAUUCCAAUCGAACCUGGAGAUAGCUGGUUCUCUCCGAAAUAGCUUUAGGGCUAGCCUCAAGUGAUGAUUAUUGGAGGUAGAGCACUGUUUGGACGAGGGGCCCCUCUCGGGUUACCGAAUUCAGACAAACUCCGAAUGCCAAUUAAUUUAACUUGGGAGUCAGAACAUGGGUGAUAAGGUCCGUGUUCGAAAGGGAAACAGCCCAGACCACCAGCUAAGGUCCCAAAAUAUAUGUUAAGUGGAAAAGGAUGUGGCGUUGCCCAGACAACUAGGAUGUUGGCUUAGAAGCAGCCAUCAUUUAAAGAGUGCGUAAUAGCUCACUAGUCGAGUGACACUGCGCCGAAAAUGUACCGGGGCUAAACAUAUUACCGAAGCUGUGGAUUGUCCUUUGGACAAUGGUAGGAGAGCGUUCUAAGGGCGUUGAAGCAUGAUCGUAAGGACAUGUGGAGCGCUUAGAAGUGAGAAUGCCGGUGUGAGUAGCGAAAGACGGGUGAGAAUCCCGUCCACCGAUUGACUAAGGUUUCCAGAGGAAGGCUCGUCCGCUCUGGGUUAGUCGGGUCCUAAGCUGAGGCCGACAGGCGUAGGCGAUGGAUAACAGGUUGAUAUUCCUGUACCACCUAUAAUCGUUUUAAUCGAUGGGGGGACGCAGUAGGAUAGGCGAAGCGUGCGAUUGGAUUGCACGUCUAAGCAGUAAGGCUGAGUAUUAGGCAAAUCCGGUACUCGUUAAGGCUGAGCUGUGAUGGGGAGAAGACAUUGUGUCUUCGAGUCGUUGAUUUCACACUGCCGAGAAAAGCCUCUAGAUAGAAAAUAGGUGCCCGUACCGCAAACCGACACAGGUAGUCAAGAUGAGAAUUCUAAGGUGAGCGAGCGAACUCUCGUUAAGGAACUCGGCAAAAUGACCCCGUAACUUCGGGAGAAGGGGUGCUCUUUAGGGUUAACGCCCAGAAGAGCCGCAGUGAAUAGGCCCAAGCGACUGUUUAUCAAAAACACAGGUCUCUGCUAAACCGUAAGGUGAUGUAUAGGGGCUGACGCCUGCCCGGUGCUGGAAGGUUAAGAGGAGUGGUUAGCUUCUGCGAAGCUACGAAUCGAAGCCCCAGUAAACGGCGGCCGUAACUAUAACGGUCCUAAGGUAGCGAAAUUCCUUGUCGGGUAAGUUCCGACCCGCACGAAAGGCGUAACGAUUUGGGCACUGUCUCAACGAGAGACUCGGUGAAAUCAUAGUACCUGUGAAGAUGCAGGUUACCCGCGACAGGACGGAAAGACCCC
Molecule: ribosomal RNA, 1468 nt
Filed under: Staphylococcus aureus
Lineage: Bacteria; Bacillati; Bacillota; Bacilli; Caryophanales; Staphylococcaceae
Description: partial 23S ribosomal RNA
Rfam family: Bacterial large subunit ribosomal RNA
Source: RNAcentral